CGCCACCUGGAGUGCAGGCUAGUCAAAAAGUCCUUGACCGAUAAUACUACCCCGGGAAUUUCUACUGGUACUGUUGUGCACGUCCGCAAGCCGGAAAGCCUGAUGUACCACGGAGAUACCCACCUUGAACCUUUCGGUUCAAGGCCACGUUGACGGCGGCACUUCCGGGGACUU
This 174-nucleotide non-coding RNA is filed under the name Cellvibrionales bacterium. RNAcentral's name for it is "6S RNA". It matches the Rfam family "6S / SsrS RNA". From Rfam's summary of the family: E. coli 6S RNA was the first non coding RNA to be sequenced, but its function was unknown until recently. It consists of 184 nucleotides that fold into an extended hairpin structure with a large single-stranded internal bulge. The record is from RNAcentral. Lineage: Bacteria; Pseudomonadati; Pseudomonadota; Gammaproteobacteria; Cellvibrionales.